UCCAAUAACAAGAUGCUAUGGAUGGAUGGCUAAAGACUAGUAGUACUACUACUACACAUCCGCUCAUGCAAGUGGAAAGAAAUCUUGAACUGAAUCUAGCCGAAAGGCUUUGAUUGGCCACUAUCCAUGCUCUCUAAUGCACAAACCCCAAAGGCAUGCUCUACAAUUACCAAAAAACUAAUUACUCCUUGCAUGGUUUUUAAUAGCCGUUUCCAUUUGCCCAAUGAUCUCAAGAUUUAAGAGUCGCAUUUGUCUCCCAUCUUCUCCAUAUUCUGCUGGCUGCCCACCACUCCAGCAUCCCUCGGAAGCAUGGAGGCCAACCAAGAAGACAGCUUAUGGCCUUAUUGGACAAGUGCUUGGGCUGAUAACUACCUGCUUGAAGAGGAAGCGCUCCUGUCCGGCGUGUCCUUCCCAAGUUUGCACUUCGAACCAUCCUGGCCUACCAUUACGCCAGGCAACGUUUUGCAAGGUGAGCUCGACGCCGUCUUUGAGGAUGAUGUCCUGAGGCAUUAGGAUGAGAUGGAACAAGCUGGCAACAAGAUAGAAGAAAGCCAAAACAGGUUGCUUCUGCUGUGUUACAGUGAAGAGAAGGAUGUGUCCUCCAACUCCAAGAUCAUCAGAGCAGACCGUACCGGAUUGGAGGAGAAGGCCGUGACGUUCAAACUCGUGUCGCGGUACUUUUACAUUCCGAUCAUGCAGGCGGCAUGAGAGCUCAACGUCGGGCUCACCCUCCUGAAGAAAAGGUGCAGGGAGCUGGGCAUCCCCAGGUGGCCACACCGCAAGAUGAAGAGCUUGCAGACUCUCAUCAACAAUGUCCAGGUCCCUCCUUCCUCCGCAGUUUCAUGACUGCAAUGCUCUGCAUCAGAUAGAAUUUUGCAUUCCUUUCGGUCGACGCGUGAGCCUUGCGGACAGGGUCGAUCGUGCUGCAGGUCCUGCAGGAGGCGGGCAAGGCGACCGGGGAGGGGCAGCUGAGGGCGGUCGUGGAGAUGCUGCAGCAGGAGAAGCAGGUCCUGGAGCAGAGGCCGUAUGUGCAGCUGGAGGAGAAGACCAAGAGGCUCAGUCAGGCCUGCUUCAAGGCCAACUACAAGAAGAGACGGCUCUUGGCUCACGAAGCCGGAGAGACACCAAGAAUCCAGAAGUACUGAUCCCAAGCAACUUAUAUAGGAGUAACGAGGUCCUUUAGCAAGCGUCAUCACGGGGAUUCAGCUUAUCCUAUGUCUCUUUUUGCCUCAUAUCGUUUUUAUGCUGAAUGUAGUACCAGUAGUAAUCUUAACAGAACGGGCAUCAACUCCUCCUUGCAUCAAAAGAGUUCACCGUGUAUCAAGUAUCUUUAGUACAUGGCA
Long non-coding RNA from Phragmites australis (common reed), 1343 nucleotides. RefSeq lists it as uncharacterized. The transcript is spliced from 3 exons. Lineage: Eukaryota; Viridiplantae; Streptophyta; Magnoliopsida; Poales; Poaceae. The record is from RefSeq and is a predicted model, not a curated record.